AUGUUGCUUUGGUUGCAGGCGUCUCACCAUAAUGCUCCAGUGCCCAACCUUUUCGUCUCGUAUGCUUUGGCCCAUAAGGCACCAUAUAGAACAGCCACGCCUUACGAUGAGAAUGACACAGCGUCCGCGUACUCCAGCAAGACCGCCUACGAUCGGAUGGAGAAAUUUAAAGGGGUGGCAAAAGAGUUGAAAGGGCCCGAGUAUGAUGUGACAACAGAGCCUCUUGACCACGCUUUGGUCAUGAUCUCUGGAGAAGGCAGGAAACAUGGCAAGGAAGCAAUUGCAGGAGGCAUGUUCCCUAGC
This 303-nucleotide ribosomal RNA is filed under the name Triticum aestivum (bread wheat). RNAcentral's name for it is "partial small subunit ribosomal RNA". The record is from RNAcentral. Lineage: Eukaryota; Viridiplantae; Streptophyta; Magnoliopsida; Poales; Poaceae.